RNAcentral lists this ribosomal RNA (114 nucleotides) under Providencia rettgeri. Its description in RNAcentral is "partial 23S ribosomal RNA". It matches the Rfam family "Bacterial large subunit ribosomal RNA", at positions 1 to 105 of the family's 2925-position model. The record is from RNAcentral. Lineage: Bacteria; Pseudomonadati; Pseudomonadota; Gammaproteobacteria; Enterobacterales; Morganellaceae.
GGGUUGUGAGGUUAAGCGACUAAGCGUACACGGUGGAUGCCUAGGCAAUCAGAGGCGAUGAAGGACGUGCUAAUCUGCGAUAAGCGUCGGUAAGGUGAUAUGAACCGUUAUACC